AUGGACUGGGAAGAAGCGGCGACUUUGCAGGUGGAGGCCGUAGCGGCGGCGGCGGUUGAUUUGUCGCCGGUGGAGGCCGUAGCGGCGGCGGAGGAGGUUGAGGCGGACACAUCAGUCAACCGCAGCAUCGUCAACAAUCAGAGACUCACUCCUAUUGCAAAGCUUCUCAUUACAUUGGUAGGAGUUGUAAUUGCAUUUCAACCUGCUAGUGCUAUCAAGAUUCCUGAGAGUAUUAAUGGAGUGCCACUUAUUGGGAUGGAAGCGGAUCUAGAGGACUAUGCUAGGUUGGCUCGGGAAGGACGUCGAGUAGCCAAAAUGCGCUCGCCAUUUACCAUGUCAAGGGAAGGUCUGCCUGUGCUUGAAAAUCAGACUGGAGUUGCAAAACCACCGCCGGCCUGGUUAUAUAACAAGAUUGUAAAUGGCCAUGAUCAGGUGGUAUUUCUGAUUAGAAGCGAUAACCUGUAUAUCGGUGGAUACAUAAAUCCCCAAGGAAUUAUCCAUUCAUUCGCCCAAUAUUCAAGUAUGCUCCCCGGAUCCAUUUCUCUAGGAAUCGGUGGAAGUUAUAGAGACCUAGUUGGUCGUAGGUCAAACCUUGCAAACCUUGAUCUAGGCAAAAGGGCAAUGAAGAGAGCUUUGAAGAUUCUUUCUCGGUACAAACAUGGAGUCAGCGACUUCUUUCAGAUGACAACUUCACUGGCAAGGUACUCUGUGGUAUUAUGUGAGGCACAGAGGUUCACGGAGAUUCAUGAAUCUUUACUUGAUAAAUGGAACUCAAGGACUGGAUACUAUAUUCAGCGGCCUAAGGAGCUCUUAGUUAGCUGGGCUUCACUGUCGUGUGGUGUGCUGGAGAAGUGGAAACCCACCCUCAAAUAUGGUAAAACCUAUUAUUAUGAGACAUUGUGGAACUAUGACAAUGUACGGUUCAAACUUAGAACAUCAAAAACAGGAGCUCCAUAUCUCUUGAGAUUGCUGAUAAAGGGCAAAAGAUGCCAGGAUAGCAUAAUGGGCUGGGGCCACCGCCCUUAG
RNAcentral lists this ribosomal RNA (1026 nucleotides) under Triticum aestivum (bread wheat). RNAcentral's name for it is "partial small subunit ribosomal RNA". Lineage: Eukaryota; Viridiplantae; Streptophyta; Magnoliopsida; Poales; Poaceae. The record is from RNAcentral.